UACGGAGGAUGCGAGCGUUAUCCGGAUUUAUUGGGUUUAAAGGGUGCGUAGGCGGAUAUUUAAGUGGGAUGUGAAAUACUCGGGCUUAACCUGGGUGCUGCAUUCCAAACUGGAUAUCUAGAGUGCAGGAGAGGAAAGGAGAAUUCCUAGUGUAGCGGUGAAAUGCGUAGAGAUUAGGAAGAAUACCAGUGGCGAAGGCGCCUUUCUGGACUGUAACUGACGCUGAGGUUCGAAAGUGUGGGUAGCAAAC
This 250-nucleotide ribosomal RNA is filed under the name uncultured bacterium. RNAcentral's name for it is "partial 16S ribosomal RNA". It matches the Rfam family "Bacterial small subunit ribosomal RNA", at positions 524 to 773 of the family's 1533-position model. The record is from RNAcentral.